This 254-nucleotide ribosomal RNA is filed under the name uncultured bacterium. RNAcentral's name for it is "partial 16S ribosomal RNA". It matches the Rfam family "Bacterial small subunit ribosomal RNA", at positions 526 to 779 of the family's 1533-position model. The record is from RNAcentral.
CGGAGGGCGUAGCGUUGUUCGGAAUUACUGGGCGUAAAGCGCACGUAGGCGGACCAGAAAGUUAGGGGUGGAAAUCCCGGGGCGUCAACCUCGGAACUGCCUUCAAACUAUUGGUCUGGAGUUCGAGAGAGGUGAGUGGAAUUCCGAGUGUAGAGGUGAAAUUCGUAGAUAUUCGGAGGAACACCAGUGGCGAAGGCGGCUCACUGGCUCGAUACUGACGCUGAGGUGCGAAAGCGUGGGGAGCAAACAGGAUU